Molecule: ribosomal RNA, 252 nt
Filed under: uncultured bacterium
Lineage: Bacteria
Description: partial 16S ribosomal RNA
Rfam family: Bacterial small subunit ribosomal RNA
Source: RNAcentral
UACGGAGGAUGCGAGCGUUAUCCGGAUUUAUUGGGUUUAAAGGGUGCGUAGGCGGAUUUUUAAGUCAGCGGUAAAAUGUCCGGGCUCAACCCGGGCCGGCCGUUGAAACUGGGGAUCUUGAGUGGGCGAGAAGUAUGCGGAAUGCGUGGUGUAGCGGUGAAAUGCAUAGAUAUCACGCAGAACUCCGACUGCGAAGGCAGCAUACCGGCGCCCGACUGACGCUGAGGCACGAAAGCGUGGGGAUCGAACAGG